CCUACGGGUGGCAGCAGUGGGGAAUAUUGCACAAUGGGGGAAACCCUGAUGCAGCGACGCCGCGUGAGUGAAGAAGCGUUUCGGCGCGUAAAGCUCUGUCAGCGGGGAAGAAACACGGUUCGCGCGAGCCGCGGACGGUACCCGACCAAGAAGCCCCGGCUAACUACGUGCCAGCAGCCGCGGUAAUACGGAGGAUGCGAGCGUUAUCCGGAUUUAUUGGGUUUAAAGGGUGCGCAGGCGGAAGAUCAAGUCAGCGGUAAAAUUGAGAGGCUCAACCUCUUCGAGCCGUUGAAACUGGUUUUCUUGAGUGAGCGAGAAGUAUGCGGAAUGCGUGGUGUAGCGGUGAAAUGCAUAGAUAUCACGCAGAACUCCGAUUGCGAAGGCAGCAUACCGGCGCUCAACUGACGCUCAUGCACGAAAGUGUGGGUAUCGAACAGGAUUAGAUACCCUAGUAGUC
Molecule: ribosomal RNA, 457 nt
Filed under: uncultured bacterium
Lineage: Bacteria
Description: partial 16S ribosomal RNA
Rfam family: Bacterial small subunit ribosomal RNA
Source: RNAcentral